RNAcentral lists this ribosomal RNA (766 nucleotides) under Lactiplantibacillus plantarum. RNAcentral's name for it is "bacterial SSU rRNA". It matches the Rfam family "Bacterial small subunit ribosomal RNA", at positions 675 to 1440 of the family's 1533-position model. The record is from RNAcentral. Lineage: Bacteria; Bacillati; Bacillota; Bacilli; Lactobacillales; Lactobacillaceae.
GUAGCGGUGAAAUGCGUAGAUAUAUGGAAGAACACCCAGUGGCGAAGGCGGCUGUCUGGUCUGUAACUGACGCUGAGGCUCGAAAGUAUGGGUAGCAAACAGGAUUAGAUACCCUGGUAGUCCAUACCGUAAACGAUGAAUGCUAAGUGUUGGAGGGUUUCCGCCCUUCAGUGCUGCAGCUAACGCAUUAAGCAUUCCGCCUGGGGAGUACGGCCGCAAGGCUGAAACUCAAAGGAAUUGACGGGGGCCCGCACAAGCGGUGGAGCAUGUGGUUUAAUUCGAAGCUACGCGAAGAACCUUACCAGGUCUUGACAUACUAUGCAAAUUUAAGAGAUUAGACGUUCCCUUCGGGGACAAGGAUACAGGUGGUGCAUGGUUGUCGUCAGCUCGUGUCGUGAGAUGUUGGGUUAAGUCCCGCAACGAGCGCAACCCUUAUUAUCAGUUGCCAGCAUUAAGUUGGGCACUCUGGUGAGACUGCCGGUGACAAACCGGAGGAAGGUGGGGAUGACGUCAAAUCAUCAUGCCCCUUAUGACCUGGGCUACACACGUGCUACAAUGGAUGGUACAACGAGUUGCGAACUCGCGAGAGUAAGCUAAUCUCUUAAAGCCAUUCUCAGUUCGGAUUGUAGGCUGCAACUCGCCUACAUGAAGUCGGAAUCGCUAGUAAUCGCGGAUCAGCAUGCCGCGGUGAAUACGUUCCCGGGCCUUGUACACACCGCCCGUCACACCAUGAGAGUUUGUAACACCCAAAGUCGGUGGGGUAACC